GUGAAUCAUCAAAUUUUUGAACGCAAAUUGCACUCUCUGGUAUUCCGGAGAGUAUGCCUGUUUGAGGGUCAGUUUAAAUAAAAAUCUGUGUGGUGGCUGCCUUUCUUGGUUACGCACCGUAUGUGGGUAGUCUUGCCUUCGGUUAAGUGGCCUAAAAUUUUGCAUGAUUUUGUGGAACGUAUGUAAAUGAUUUUACGUACGUUUUCGAUAUCGAAUACUAGGUG
This 224-nucleotide unclassified non-coding RNA is filed under the name Glomeraceae sp. RNAcentral's name for it is "partial contains 5.8S ribosomal RNA and internal transcribed spacer 2". The stretch from base 1 to 71 matches the Rfam family "5.8S ribosomal RNA", at positions 84 to 154 of the family's 154-position model. Lineage: Eukaryota; Fungi; Glomeromycota; Glomeromycetes; Glomerales; Glomeraceae. The record is from RNAcentral.